CCGUUUCUGCUUUUCUCAGCAGGUAAUGAUCAUAACGUUCGUAAUAUGAAUCUAAACAGGAACUAUUCAAAUUUUGAAAUCGGUGAACGUGAAUAUGUACCGCUGUUUCCGUUGAGUUUUUCGGUGUAAAUCUAAAAUUUUCUCAGCUCUAUUGCAUCUGAGUUAAAUUCUGUGGUUUUUUCGCAGCAUUAUUUUAGUAUUAUGCUAUGCAUAACGAUAACAGGGGAUCGAAGUUCUCUGUUUUUCUUAGCUGGUAAUAACCGAAACAUCCGUUUAUCCCCUGGAUAAAAGGCGUUAGCAUACAACUUUUUUAAAUCAACAAGCGUGAUUGUCGCUGCACAUUUUAAACUUUUUUUAUCAAUGUAAAUAGUAUAUUUUAUACGUACUUGGAUUUUUUUUUGUUCGUAGCAAAAACAGAGGAUUGUAUCGGCGGCUAAUUUGCUGUGAUGUGAAUGUGAAUUUUUUGUGUGUAUGUACAGGCGUGGAUAUGCAGCGGCAUCACAAGGUGCAGUUUCCGGUGUAGCAAAAGGAGUGCCAAGGAGCAACGUGAUGAUGCAAAAAAGUGGAGAGGAAUCGGUGAAGACUUCAUGGGUGCCAGAUCCAGUUACCGGUUACUAUAGGCCGGAAGGACAAGCAAAUGAGAUUGACGCUGCUGAGCUCCGGAAGAUGCUGUUGAAACACAGAUCUGGAAGCAACUGAAAAUCUUUGAAGCUGCGCCGUUGAUCUGCGGUUAAUCAUCGGAGAUUUUCGAUCAACGAGAAAAGAGAAUUUAGUGAAGGAACUGUUUUAUCAGAAAAAUAUAGCAGUGUGAAAUUUACUCGUGCUUUGUUGCUUUUAAAUUUUAAGCUUAUUGUUAUAUCUUUCUUUUAUUAGUAUCUUUUAUUCAUGCAAAUGAAAUAAUUAUAGUAUUAGUAUUAAUCUUCGGGCUUUAGAUCCAA
Molecule: unclassified non-coding RNA, 938 nt
Filed under: Hevea brasiliensis (rubber tree)
Lineage: Eukaryota; Viridiplantae; Streptophyta; Magnoliopsida; Malpighiales; Euphorbiaceae
Source: RNAcentral